GAUGAACCGCGUAGGCUACAGGCUUAACGACAUGCAAGUCGAGGGGCGAGCGGGAUUAGGAAGCUUGCUUCAAUUGCCGGCGACCGGCGCACGGGUGAGUAACGCGUAUCCAACCUUCCGCUUACUCGGGGAUAGCCUUUCGAAAGAAAGAUUAAUACCCGAUGGUAUCUUAAGCACGCAUGAGAUUAAGAUUAAAGAUUUAUCGGUAAGCGAUGGGGAUGCGUUCCAUUAGGCAGUUGGCGGGGUAACGGCCCACCAAACCUACGAUGGAUAGGGGUUCUGAGAGGAAGGUCCCCCACAUUGGAACUGAGACACGGUCCAA
Molecule: ribosomal RNA, 322 nt
Filed under: uncultured bacterium
Lineage: Bacteria
Description: bacterial SSU rRNA
Rfam family: Bacterial small subunit ribosomal RNA
Source: RNAcentral